Molecule: ribosomal RNA, 499 nt
Filed under: uncultured bacterium
Lineage: Bacteria
Description: partial 16S ribosomal RNA
Rfam family: Bacterial small subunit ribosomal RNA
Source: RNAcentral
GAUGAACGCUGGCGGCGUGCCUAAUACAUGCCAGUCGAGCGAACAGACGAGAGUGCUUGCACUCUCUGACGUUAGCGGCGGACGGGUGAGUAACACGUGGGUAACCUACCUAUAAGACUGGGAUAACUUCGGGAAACCGGAGCUAAUACCGGAUAAUAUUUAGCUUCGCAUGAAGCAAUAGUGAAAGACGUUUCUGCUGUCACUUAUAGAUGGACCCGCGGUGUAUUAGCUAGUUGGUGAGGUAACGGCUCACCAAGGCAACGAUACAUAGCCGACCUGAGAGGGUGAUCAGCCACACUGGGACUGAGACACGGCCCAGACUCCUACGGGAGGCAGCAGUAGGGAAUCUUCCGCAAUGGACGAAAGUCUGACGGAGCAAUGCCGCGUGAGUGAAGAAGGUUUUCGGAUCGUAAAACUCUGUUGUAAGGGAAGAACAAGUACGUUAGUAACUGAACGUACCUUGACGGUACCUUACCAGAAAGCCACGGCUAACUACGUG